Molecule: signal recognition particle RNA, 97 nt
Filed under: Parashewanella spongiae
Lineage: Bacteria; Pseudomonadati; Pseudomonadota; Gammaproteobacteria; Alteromonadales; Shewanellaceae
Also listed under: 1 other name
Description: Shewanella spongiae Bacterial small signal recognition particle RNA
Rfam family: Bacterial small signal recognition particle RNA
About the family: The signal recognition particle (SRP) is a universally conserved ribonucleoprotein involved in the co-translational targeting of proteins to membranes. Archaeal SRP consists of a 7S RNA and homologues of the eukaryotic SRP19 and SRP54 proteins.
Source: Rfam by way of RNAcentral
CUAGGGUUCCUUCGCAAUGAUAAUUUGUGAACUCGGCCAGGAUCGGGAGAUAGCAACCGUAGCGAAUGAUUCAUGUGCCGAAGUGCAGCUCUAGAGU